Molecule: ribosomal RNA, 1534 nt
Filed under: Klebsiella quasipneumoniae subsp. quasipneumoniae
Lineage: Bacteria; Pseudomonadati; Pseudomonadota; Gammaproteobacteria; Enterobacterales; Enterobacteriaceae
Description: bacterial SSU rRNA
Rfam family: Bacterial small subunit ribosomal RNA
Source: RNAcentral
UUGAAGAGUUUGAUCAUGGCUCAGAUUGAACGCUGGCGGCAGGCCUAACACAUGCAAGUCGAGCGGUAGCACAGAGAGCUUGCUCUCGGGUGACGAGCGGCGGACGGGUGAGUAAUGUCUGGGAAACUGCCUGAUGGAGGGGGAUAACUACUGGAAACGGUAGCUAAUACCGCAUAACGUCGCAAGACCAAAGUGGGGGACCUUCGGGCCUCAUGCCAUCAGAUGUGCCCAGAUGGGAUUAGCUAGUAGGUGGGGUAACGGCUCACCUAGGCGACGAUCCCUAGCUGGUCUGAGAGGAUGACCAGCCACACUGGAACUGAGACACGGUCCAGACUCCUACGGGAGGCAGCAGUGGGGAAUAUUGCACAAUGGGCGCAAGCCUGAUGCAGCCAUGCCGCGUGUGUGAAGAAGGCCUUCGGGUUGUAAAGCACUUUCAGCGGGGAGGAAGGCGAUAAGGUUAAUAACCUUGUCGAUUGACGUUACCCGCAGAAGAAGCACCGGCUAACUCCGUGCCAGCAGCCGCGGUAAUACGGAGGGUGCAAGCGUUAAUCGGAAUUACUGGGCGUAAAGCGCACGCAGGCGGUCUGUCAAGUCGGAUGUGAAAUCCCCGGGCUCAACCUGGGAACUGCAUUCGAAACUGGCAGGCUAGAGUCUUGUAGAGGGGGGUAGAAUUCCAGGUGUAGCGGUGAAAUGCGUAGAGAUCUGGAGGAAUACCGGUGGCGAAGGCGGCCCCCUGGACAAAGACUGACGCUCAGGUGCGAAAGCGUGGGGAGCAAACAGGAUUAGAUACCCUGGUAGUCCACGCCGUAAACGAUGUCGAUUUGGAGGUUGUGCCCUUGAGGCGUGGCUUCCGGAGCUAACGCGUUAAAUCGACCGCCUGGGGUACGGCCGCAAGGUUAAAACUCAAAUGAAUUGACGGGGGCCCGCACAAGCGGUGGAGCAUGUGGUUUAAUUCGAUGCAACGCGAAGAACCUUACCUGGUCUUGACAUCCACAGAACUUAGCAGAGAUGCUUUGGUGCCUUCGGGAACUGUGAGACAGGUGCUGCAUGGCUGUCGUCAGCUCGUGUUGUGAAAUGUUGGGUUAAGUCCCGCAACGAGCGCAACCCUUAUCCUUUGUUGCCAGCGGUCCGGCCGGGAACUCAAAGGAGACUGCCAGUGAUAAACUGGAGGAAGGUGGGGAUGACGUCAAGUCAUCAUGGCCCUUACGACCAGGGCUACACACGUGCUACAAUGGCAUAUACAAAGAGAAGCGACCUCGCGAGAGCAAGCGGACCUCAUAAAGUAUGUCGUAGUCCGGAUUGGAGUCUGCAACUCGACUCCAUGAAGUCGGAAUCGCUAGUAAUCGUAGAUCAGAAUGCUACGGUGAAUACGUUCCCGGGCCUUGUACACACCGCCCGUCACACCAUGGGAGUGGGUUGCAAAAGAAGUAGGUAGCUUAACCUUCGGGAGGGCGCUUACCACUUUGUGAUUCAUGACUGGGGUGAAGUCGUAACAAGGUAACCGUAGGGGAACCUGCGGUUGGAUCACCUCCUU